RNAcentral lists this transfer RNA (50 nucleotides) under Atypus karschi. RNAcentral describes it as "tRNA-Val". Lineage: Eukaryota; Metazoa; Arthropoda; Arachnida; Araneae; Atypidae. The record is from RNAcentral.
GUUAAGAAACCAGAUAACGUAUGGGUCGAUUAGAAUUUCUCUUCUUAACG